This is a long non-coding RNA of Gossypium arboreum, 734 nucleotides long. RefSeq lists it as uncharacterized. The transcript is spliced from 2 exons. The record is from RefSeq and is a predicted model, not a curated record. Lineage: Eukaryota; Viridiplantae; Streptophyta; Magnoliopsida; Malvales; Malvaceae.
AAUCAGGUGCAGAGGGGAGCGAACCAUAACACGAUGAAAAGGGGAAGGGCCUGCUACCUAAAUAAACCAUUUUAGGCGCCAAAGCUUCGCCCCCCUUUUUGACACGGUAUCGUUUCUUUAGCAGGUCAUUUAACCUUCCAUUUCCUAAAUCUAUUUUCUAAACACGGCCCCCACUUCACCAAACUUCUCAGCCCUAAAAAUCAAAUUGUUUGGGCAUAUUCCAGCAGCCACCGAGUACACCACUUCAUCAGGUGAUCGAUGGCACUCCAGCGACAAUCGAUGAUGCCUUUGGACCCUUCCAACUUCAAUUUUCAGCGAAGAGGGCAGAGAUCCAUGGCUGAUUUGUAAGGUUCCAUUGUGGCUAUGGUCGUACGGAAGGAGGGGCCGUUCGUGGGCGUGGAGGAGGCUCGAAUGCUUCGGUACUGGUUUCAUGCGAGACUGCUGCGCACUUGAGCUUGGUGGCUAGGGUUCCAAAAAUCUGGUUGGGGUUUGAGUUUUGGGCCAUUAGGUGUUAGGCUGUUUGGGGUUAACUGGGUUAGAUCUGUUAUCGGGCUUAAGGGAUUUACUUGGGUUGUAAGUAUAAAUGGACUAUAGACAUUUAUUAGAUUUUAUUUUGUGAUUUUUGUUUUUUAAUUUUUUUUUUGGAUCUUAACGGGCCCGGGCGAAAUGGGCCUAUUACAAUUGACUUCAAAUUGUUUUAUAUAGUAUUUUGUUGCAUAUUCUUCGUUUGUUAA